RNAcentral lists this long non-coding RNA (252 nucleotides) under Nicotiana benthamiana. RNAcentral's name for it is "long non-coding RNA (NBEN_LNC001297)". Lineage: Eukaryota; Viridiplantae; Streptophyta; Magnoliopsida; Solanales; Solanaceae. The record is from RNAcentral.
GACCAUUUAGGUUCAUUGAAGUGGUCACAAUUGUAAUAUUCCUUUCUCUCAUUCUUAUUGCAAAUGUAGCCACACCACCUCCAAUAUCGAGUCCAAUUCUAAUUGUUCCUGGUUUCUUUACUGCUAACACUUCUUCAAUAGAGAAGUCGAGACGAGUACCAGUUUUCGCUGUCCAACGCGAUUUCUCUUUGCCAUUUAGAUCGAAACAAUCUUUACAAUCAUCAAAUCCUCUCUGAUUUCUAACGCGAUUGA